GAAGGUAUAACUCAGUGGUAGAGUGUGUGCUUAGCACGCGCGGGGUCCUGGGUUCGAUCCCCAGUACCGGUA
RNAcentral lists this transfer RNA (72 nucleotides) under Camelus bactrianus (Bactrian camel). It matches the Rfam family "tRNA". From Rfam's summary of the family: Transfer RNA (tRNA) molecules are approximately 80 nucleotides in length. Their secondary structure includes four short double-helical elements and three loops (D, anti-codon, and T loops). RNAcentral also lists the same sequence under 2 other names. The record is from Rfam by way of RNAcentral. Lineage: Eukaryota; Metazoa; Chordata; Mammalia; Artiodactyla; Camelidae.